This 774-nucleotide ribosomal RNA is filed under the name uncultured Neocallimastigales. RNAcentral describes it as "partial large subunit ribosomal RNA". It matches the Rfam family "Eukaryotic large subunit ribosomal RNA", at positions 25 to 634 of the family's 3401-position model. Lineage: Eukaryota; Fungi; Neocallimastigomycota; Neocallimastigomycetes; Neocallimastigales. The record is from RNAcentral.
ACACUGACGUCGCGAUGCAUAUCAAUAAGCGGAGGAAAAGAAACUAACAAGGAUUCCCUUAGUAACGGCGAGUGAAGCGGGAAGAGCUCAAAUUUGAAAUCUUCAAGGUUCUACCUUGACGAAUUGUAGUUUAAAGAAGUGUUUUCUGUUAGUGGAGUGGCAAAAGUUCUUUGGAAUAGGACAUCAUAGAGGGUGAGAAUCCCGUAUUUGGUCAUUCCUUCUAGCUUUGUGAUACACUUUCAAAGAGUCGGAUUGUUUGGGAAUGCAGUCCAAAAUGGGUGGUAAAUUUCAUCUAAAGCUAAAUAUUGGCGAGAGACCGAUAGCGAACAAGUACCGUGAGGGAAAGAUGAAAAGAACUUUGAAAAGAGAGUUAAACAGUACGUGAAAUUGUCAAAAGGGAAGCGUUUGACACCAGUGUUGUUUUUCCGAAAAUCAAUUAUAAAUGUUUUGUUUCUGAGGAGUGAUGACUUCAUCGGCUUCCUUCUCUCUUCACGAAACUUUUGUAAUGCACUUUUCGGUUAACAAGUCAACAUCAAUUUCUUUUGUUGUAAAAGAGUAUUCGGAAGGUGGCUUUCUUUUCGGAGAAAGUGUUUAUAGCCCUAUACUUCUACAAUCGGAGAGAUUGAGGUCUGCAGCGUAGAUCCUUCGGGGUUAGAUACACUUGUGCUAAGUUAUAGCUUUUCAUAGACAACUUGUUGACUAUGUUUAGUCUUGUAGCUUACUCGCUUGUGCUAUUUUACCUACGCUUAGGAUGUUGAGUCGUAGAGCACGCAG